This 336-nucleotide unclassified non-coding RNA is filed under the name soil metagenome. Its description in RNAcentral is "partial contains 5.8S ribosomal RNA, internal transcribed spacer 2, and large subunit ribosomal RNA". The stretch from base 1 to 120 matches the Rfam family "5.8S ribosomal RNA", at positions 35 to 154 of the family's 154-position model. The record is from RNAcentral.
GAUGAAGAACGUAGCGAAAUGCGAUAAGUAGUGUGAAUUGCAGAAUUCAGUGAAUCAUCGAAUCUUUGAACGCACAUUGCGCCCCAUGGUAUUCCGUGGGGCAUGCCUGUUCGAGCGUCAUUUACUCCCUCAAGCUCCGCUUGGUGUUGGGCGUCUGUCCCGCUUCGCGCGCGGACUCGCCCCAAAGGUAUUGGCAGCGGUCGUGCCAGCUUCUCGCGCAGCACAUUGCGCUUCUCGAGGCACCGGCGGGCCCGCGUCCAUCAAGCUCACCCCCCAGUUUGACCUCGGAUCAGGUAGGGAUACCCGCUGAACUUAAGCAUAUCAAUAAGCGGAGGA